RNAcentral lists this ribosomal RNA (373 nucleotides) under uncultured bacterium. Its description in RNAcentral is "bacterial SSU rRNA". It matches the Rfam family "Bacterial small subunit ribosomal RNA", at positions 1007 to 1384 of the family's 1533-position model. The record is from RNAcentral.
CGUGGGUGCGUCGGGAGCCGAUAGAAGGUGCUGCAUGGCUGUCGUCAGCUCGUGUCGUGAGAUGUUGGGUUAAGUCCCGUAACGAGCGCAACCCUUGUCCCUAGUUGCCAGCACUUCGGGUGGGAACUCUAAGGAGACUGCCGGUGAUAAACCGGAAGAAGGUGGGGAUGACGUCAAAUCAUCAUGGCCCUUAUGGGCUGGGCUACACACGUGCUACAAUGGUCGGUACAGAACGUCGCGAACCCCCGAGGUGGAGCCAAUCGCACAAAACCGGUCGUAAUCCGGAUCGCAGUCUGCAACUCGACUGCGUGAAGUCGGAAUCGCUAGUAAUCCCGGAUCAGCAUGCCGCGGUGAAUACCUUCCCGGGCCUUGU